This 412-nucleotide ribosomal RNA is filed under the name Actinomycetes bacterium. Its description in RNAcentral is "Actinobacteria bacterium partial 16S ribosomal RNA". It matches the Rfam family "Bacterial small subunit ribosomal RNA", at positions 355 to 776 of the family's 1533-position model. The record is from RNAcentral. Lineage: Bacteria; Bacillati; Actinomycetota; Actinomycetes.
UGGGGAAUCUUGCACAAUGGGCGGAAGCCUGAUGCAGCGACGCCGCGUGGGGGAUGACGGCCUUCGGGUUGUAAACUCCUUUCGCCAGGGACGAAGCCGUGAGGUGACGGUACCUGGAUAAGAAGCACCGGCUAACUACGUGCCAGCAGCCGCGGUAAUUCGUAGGGUGCGAGCGUUGUCCGGAAUUACUGGGCGUAAAGAGCUCGUAGGUGGUUUGUCGCGUCGUCUGUGAAAUUCCGGGGCUUAACUCCGGGCGUGCAGGCGAUACGGGCAUAACUUGAGUGCUGUAGGGGAGACUGGAAUUCCUGGUGUAGCGGUGAAAUGCGCAGAUAUCAGGAGGAACACCGAUGGCGAAGGCAGGUCUCUGGGCAGUAACUGACGCUGAGGAGCGAAAGCAUGGGUAGCGAACAGG